GAUGUCAAAUCAUCAUGCCCCUUACGUCCUGGGCUACACACGUACUACAAUGGCGGCCAUACAACGGGUAGCGACAUAGCGAUAUGAAGCCAAUCCCCAAAAGCCGUCUCAGUUCGGAUCGCAGGCUGAAACCCGCCUGCGUGAAGUCGGAAUUGCUAGUAAUCGCGGAUCAGCAUGCCGCGUCGAUACGUUCCGGCCUU
RNAcentral lists this ribosomal RNA (200 nucleotides) under uncultured prokaryote. RNAcentral's name for it is "partial 16S ribosomal RNA". It matches the Rfam family "Bacterial small subunit ribosomal RNA", at positions 1181 to 1374 of the family's 1533-position model. The record is from RNAcentral.